ACGGAUGUUUGGGCUUUUUGAGGACUGAUGAUCAUACAAUCGUCAGCUCGCACCAGAUUGAUGUUGUCUGCAUGUUGCAUCUUUCCUCUUGUAGCAAUCUCUUCAUCCGAGCAUGUCGUCUAAGAAUGACAAAUACAUAGAAGCUGGUGAGUUAACAUAGAAGAAGGUGAUUGGGCUUCUUGGAGGAGAGGUGAUCUAUUAUGCAGUCUUUGUUUUCUUGAGUUCUGAAGUAGUCUUCUCUGAUUGCAUCUUCAGGAUGAGCGAAUUUUGAGGAUUUAUAGGCAUCUUGUAGUUUUGAUUUAAGUUUGUCUUCAGUUGAUUUUCUUCAGGAGCAGUGAGAUAAUUAUUAUCGAGUUCUAAUUCCUCUACUGGAAUCUUUUCCAUGUUGAGAAGUGGUGUGAUCUAUUGCCUUCUUCUGUAGGGUGAGUUGAUGAUUGUUUGAAAUUGGAUAAACAGCCAUUUUGUGGAUUCUAAGGACUGGUAUAUAUGAUGAGGUUGGUCAAUUAUUACUUAGAAUGACUGAGCUUUUCUUGAGUUUGA
Long non-coding RNA from Eucalyptus grandis, 540 nucleotides. RefSeq lists it as uncharacterized. NCBI's taxonomy places the organism in Eukaryota, Viridiplantae, Streptophyta, Magnoliopsida, Myrtales, Myrtaceae. The transcript has 2 exons. The record is from RefSeq and is a predicted model, not a curated record.